AUGCGACCCCAGGACAGGCGAGGCCACCCGCCGAGUUUAAGCAUAUCAAUAAGCGGAGGAGAAGAAACUUACGAGGAUUCCCCUAGUAACGGCGAGU
RNAcentral lists this ribosomal RNA (97 nucleotides) under Dendrobium chrysotoxum. RNAcentral's name for it is "partial 28S ribosomal RNA". It matches the Rfam family "Eukaryotic large subunit ribosomal RNA", at positions 1 to 94 of the family's 3401-position model. The record is from RNAcentral. Lineage: Eukaryota; Viridiplantae; Streptophyta; Magnoliopsida; Asparagales; Orchidaceae.